ACAUAAUUUGGAUUUCCUAGUUUUUACAGUAAAUCGAUAUUUAAAUACUUUUACCGCUAUUAUUUCAUUAAUUAUCGGAUGGUUCUGUCGAGAAAAAUUGCAACUCAUCUGGGAAAGAAUAAAAUUAACUGAGCAAUUUUUCGAAAUUUUUGGACUGAAGGAAACUUAUCAGAAAAUUUUUAUAGAAAGUUUAGUGACUUCGAUAUUUUGGGCAAUUGCAAUUUUUGUCACUUAUACCAUGGAUUUAAUAGGACAUUUGGAUGACUGGCAACUACUUCGAAGUUUAUAUUGUAUUUUUCGCUUUCAUUGGGCAAUUCAUGCAAAUACAGUUGUUGAUAUUUCGUUUACAAUAGCCCUCAGUUGCAUAAAUGAAACAUUUAAACGAAUGAAUUAUCUUCUGCAAAAAAAAUUUACAAAAACUAAACGCGAACGGUGUAAGAGAAUUAGGAAAAAAACGAAAUUUCAGAAAUUUUGGACAGUAUAGAUAAUUUAACAGAAAAGGAUGUGUUAGAGUUAGUGAGACAUUUGCAUCUGGAAGUUUGUGAAAUAACAAGAGAAAUUAAUAAAAUUUACCAAGUUCAUAUUGCAUUAGAAAUGUUAACAAAUUUUUCAUCUUUAACUGCAGUUCUUUAUUAUUUUUUAAAUUCAAUGCCUGAAUUAGAAAACUUUCCUAUGUCAGAUAUGAAAAUAUCGAUUGUUAACUUAGUAGGAUGGAUCAUAAUAUUUCUCAGCAGAUUUUUAUACGUUAAUGUUGUUGCCGAGAAAGUU
This is a long non-coding RNA of Leptopilina boulardi, 768 nucleotides long. RefSeq lists it as uncharacterized. The record is from RefSeq and is a predicted model, not a curated record. NCBI's taxonomy places the organism in Eukaryota, Metazoa, Arthropoda, Insecta, Hymenoptera, Figitidae. The transcript is spliced from 4 exons.